This 240-nucleotide ribosomal RNA is filed under the name Escherichia coli. Its description in RNAcentral is "partial 16S ribosomal RNA". It matches the Rfam family "Bacterial small subunit ribosomal RNA", at positions 689 to 928 of the family's 1533-position model. Lineage: Bacteria; Pseudomonadati; Pseudomonadota; Gammaproteobacteria; Enterobacterales; Enterobacteriaceae. The record is from RNAcentral.
CGUAGAGAUCUGGAGGAAUACCGGUGGCGAAGGCGGCCCCCUGGACGAAGACUGACGCUCAGGUGCGAAAGCGUGGGGAGCAAACAGGAUUAGAUACCCUGGUAGUCCACGCCGUAAACGAUGUCGACUUGGAGGUUGUGCCCUUGAGGCGUGGCUUCCGGAGCUAACGCGUUAAGUCGACCGCCUGGGGAGCACGGCAGCAAGGGUAAAAAUCAAAUGAAUUGACGGGGGCCCGCACAA